GGGGCUGGGGCUCAGUGGUAGAGCGCUUGCCUAGUAUGCGUGAGGUACUGGGUUCAAUACUCAGCACCCCA
This 71-nucleotide transfer RNA is filed under the name Urocitellus parryii (Arctic ground squirrel). RNAcentral's name for it is "Spermophilus parryii (Arctic ground squirrel) tRNA". It matches the Rfam family "tRNA". From Rfam's summary of the family: Transfer RNA (tRNA) molecules are approximately 80 nucleotides in length. Their secondary structure includes four short double-helical elements and three loops (D, anti-codon, and T loops). Further hydrogen bonds mediate the characteristic L-shaped molecular structure. tRNAs have two regions of fundamental functional importance: the anti-codon, which is responsible for specific mRNA codon recognition, and the 3' end, to which the tRNAs corresponding amino acid is attached (by aminoacyl-tRNA synthetases). tRNAs cope with the degeneracy of the genetic code in two manners: having more than one tRNA (with a specific anti-codon) for a particular amino acid; and 'wobble' base-pairing, i.e. permitting non-standard base-pairing at the 3rd anti-codon position. The record is from Rfam by way of RNAcentral. RNAcentral also lists the same sequence under 1 other name. Lineage: Eukaryota; Metazoa; Chordata; Mammalia; Rodentia; Sciuridae.